Molecule: ribosomal RNA, 433 nt
Filed under: uncultured bacterium
Lineage: Bacteria
Description: partial 16S ribosomal RNA
Rfam family: Bacterial small subunit ribosomal RNA
Source: RNAcentral
AACGAACGCUGGCGGCAUGCCUAACACAUGCAAGUCGAACGAGACCUUCGGGUCUAGUGGCGCACGGGUGCGUAACGCGUGGGAACCUGCCCUUAGGUUCGGAAUAACUCCCCGAAAGGGGUGCUAAUACCGGAUAAUGUCUUCGGACCAAAGAUUUAUCGCCGUUGGAUGGGCCCGCGUUGGAUUAGCGAGUUGGUAGGGUAAAAGCCUACCAAGGCGACGAUCCAUAGCUGGUCUGAGAGGAUGAUCAGCCACACUGGGACGUAGACACGGCCCAGACUCCUACGGGAGGCAGCAGUAGGGAAUAUUGGACAAUGGGCGAAAGCCUGAUACAGCAAUGCCGCGUGAGUGAUGAAGGCCUUAGGGUUGUAAAGCUCUUUUACCCGGGAUGAUAAUGACAGUACCGGGAGAAUAAGCUCCGGCUAACUCCGUG